RNAcentral lists this ribosomal RNA (483 nucleotides) under uncultured bacterium. RNAcentral's name for it is "partial 16S ribosomal RNA". It matches the Rfam family "Bacterial small subunit ribosomal RNA", at positions 30 to 506 of the family's 1533-position model. The record is from RNAcentral.
AUUGAACGCUGGCGGCAGGCCUAACACAUGCAAGUCGAGCGGAUGAAGGGAGCUUGCUCCUGGAUUCAGCGGCGGACGGGUGAGUAAUGCCUAGGAAUCUGCCUGGUAGUGGGGGAUAACGUCCGGAAACGGGUGCUAAUACCGCAUACGUCCUGAGGGAGAAAGUGGGGGAUCUUCGGACCUCACGCUAUCAGAUGAGCCUAGGUCGGAUUAGCUAGUUGGUGGGGUAAAGGCCUACCAAGGCGACGAUCCGUAACUGGUCUGAGAGGAUGAUCAGUCACACUGGAACUGAGACACGGUCCAGACUCCUACGGGAGGCAGCAGUGGGGAAUAUUGGACAAUGGGCGAAAGCCUGAUCCAGCCAUGCCGCGUGUGUGAAGAAGGUCUUCGGAUUGUAAAGCACUUUAAGUUGGGAGGAAGGGCAGUAAGUUGAUACCUUGCUGUUUUGACGUUACCAACAGAAUAAGCACCGGCUAACUUCGU